CAGUAGCCACGGUAAUACGAGGGGUGCAAGCGUCAUUCGGAUUGAUUGGGUGUAAAGGGUGUGCAGACGGCUUAUUAAGUCACUUGUUAAAUUCUUCGGCCUAACUGAAGGUCUGCAAGUGAUACUGAUGAGCUAGAGGGUGGAAGAGAGAAGUGGAAUUCUCGGAGUAGCGGUGAAAUGCGUAGAUAUAUGGAGGAACACCGGUGGCGAAAGCGGCUCUCUGGUCUGUCACUGACGCUGAGGCUCGAGAGCGUGGGUAGCGAACAGGAUUAGAUACCCCCGUAGUCCCUGUCUCUUAUAC
Molecule: ribosomal RNA, 301 nt
Filed under: uncultured bacterium
Lineage: Bacteria
Description: partial 16S ribosomal RNA
Rfam family: Bacterial small subunit ribosomal RNA
Source: RNAcentral